GACGAACGCUGGCGGCGUGCUUAACACAUGCAAGUCGAACGGAAAGGCCCUUCGGGGUACUCGAGUGGCGAACGGGUGAGUAACACGUGGGUGAUCUGCCAUGCACUUUGGGAUAAGCCUGGGAAACUGGGUCUAAUACCGAAUAGGACCACGCGCUUCAUGGUGUGUGGUGGAAAGCUUUUGCGGUGUGGGAUGGGCCCGCGGCCUAUCAGCUUGUUGGUGGGGUAAUGGCCUACCAAGGCGACGACGGGUAGCCGGCCUGAGAGGGUGACCGGCCACACUGGGACUGAGAUACGGCCCAGACUCCUACGGGAGGCAGCAGUGGGGAAUAUUGCACAAUGGGCGCAAGCCUGAUGCAGCGACGCCGCGUGAGGGAUGACGGCCUUCGGGUUGUAAACCUCUUUCACCAGGGACGAAGCGUAAGUGACGGUACCUGGAGAAGAAGCACCGGCCAACUACGU
RNAcentral lists this ribosomal RNA (461 nucleotides) under uncultured bacterium. RNAcentral describes it as "partial 16S ribosomal RNA". It matches the Rfam family "Bacterial small subunit ribosomal RNA", at positions 28 to 506 of the family's 1533-position model. The record is from RNAcentral.